Pelobates cultripes (western spadefoot toad) is the source of this 285-nucleotide non-coding RNA. The record is from the annotation of a GenBank genome assembly. NCBI's taxonomy places the organism in Eukaryota, Metazoa, Chordata, Amphibia, Anura, Pelobatidae.
CCCUCCCCCGAGCGCUCGCCAGGGGGCCCCGAGGACACGGCGCCCCCCCAUAUCCCCCGCCGUUAGCCCCCCCCGGGGGGAGAUCGUAUCCGGCGGGGGGAGUCCCGGCCAUGACCGGCCUGGCCCAGCGCUGCCUCCCCGAGCCAGGAAAGUAGCUUGAUGAGUGUCCAAAGUAACAGUGGAAGUUUGGAGGGGGCGCCAUCUUGGUCCCAGCUCUCCACGUCCCCGACGCAGGGCUCGGCUUUGCUGCGGAAUAGCACGCCGCCUGGCAAGGCCAAGGAAGGU